UAAAAGGCGGUUGAAUCUAGACGAAACUCAGUCUUUGCAGUCUCGAAAAGGAAGCAUCAGUCAAAGAGGUUCAGGAAAAGUUGGAAGAUUCUGAACGAACUACGGCGCCGAAAAAUGGGGAAGGAGAAACGUAAAGGCUUGCUCGCAGCGAAUAAUAGAUGAUGAAGGAUCGUCGCAGGAUCAGGAGGAUCAUCGCAGCAUCAGAUGUUCAAGAAUCGUCGCAGGAUCAGAUGGUAUGGUAUGGUAUGGUAUGG
Molecule: long non-coding RNA, 254 nt
Organism: Dendronephthya gigantea
Lineage: Eukaryota; Metazoa; Cnidaria; Anthozoa; Malacalcyonacea; Nephtheidae
Exons: 3
Source: RefSeq, a predicted model, not a curated record